UACGAAGGGGGCUAGCGUUGCUCGGAAUCACUGGGCGUAAAGCGCACGUAGGCGGCUUUUUAAGUCAGGGGUGAAAUCCUGGAGCUCAACUCCAGAACUGCCUUUGAUACUGAGAAGCUUGAGUCCGGGAGAGGUGAGUGGAACUGCGAGUGUAGAGGUGAAAUUCGUAGAUAUCAAGAGGAACACCUGAGGUGAAGACGGGUUGCUGGGCUGAUACUGACGCUGAGGCGCGAAAGCUAGGGUAGCAAACGGG
This 253-nucleotide ribosomal RNA is filed under the name uncultured bacterium. RNAcentral describes it as "partial 16S ribosomal RNA". It matches the Rfam family "Bacterial small subunit ribosomal RNA", at positions 524 to 776 of the family's 1533-position model. The record is from RNAcentral.